Molecule: ribosomal RNA, 253 nt
Filed under: uncultured bacterium
Lineage: Bacteria
Description: partial 16S ribosomal RNA
Rfam family: Bacterial small subunit ribosomal RNA
Source: RNAcentral
UACGUAGGGUGCGAGCGUUAAUCGGACUUACUGGGCGUAAAGCGUGCGCAGGCGGCUUUGCAAGACAGAUGUGAAAUCCCCGGGCUCAACCUGGGAACUGCAUUUGUGACUGCAAGGCUAGAGUACGGCAGAGGGGGAUGGAAUUCCGCGUGUAGCAGUGAAAUGCGUAGAUAUGCGGAGGAACACCAAUGGCGAAGGCAAUCCCCUGGGCCUGUACUGACGCUCAUGCACGAAAGCGUGGGGAGCAAACAGG